CGGGUGUAGAAUGACAUGAGGUGAGUAAUAAAUGUCAUUAUUUUAAUUUUUGGGUGAACUAACCCUUUAACAGAUUCAUUGAGUCGAAUUGUUUGAAGGAACCGGAUCCCACAAAUGAAUCAGACUUUCAAUCUAGAAGUGAAUCGGACUCAAUGAACCGUUCCAAAUAACCGUUACUGAUGUCAAUCACUUUUUAUGUAAUCGCAUAGCCGUGAAUAUCACCUGUAACCAUUGUUGUGGUGGCAGUGACUGAUGUAAAUAUCAAAAAUGUUACGUCAAUAUCACUGGAAAGUUGACGCAACAAGAGUUCAGUUGAACUGGGAGCUUAUCCAUCAACCGACAGCGGUGGAGAAUCGCGCGCCGUUGACGUCAGAAACUGGAUCUAAACCGUCAGUUGACACACGACGUCUAUCCCCGUCUAUCAGGAGAAAGAAACUCGUACAGGUUUGGAACAACUUGAGGACUGCACCUGUUCCCGUUCACCCUGGAGCCAGUCACACCAGUCUUCAUUAGCACAGCUGCUGCCGCCCCUCAGCCCACAAGACAGGAAGUCAGAUUAGAUACGGAAUGUCACCUUGCCCAUAUCAAGCGCUGGCCACCAGAAUAAGACACAUGACACAUGAUCAUGCUGGUGAUUUACAUCAGUGAACUGCCGUUUCUAUGGAAACAAAGAGCAAGAGGCCGGCCUGGGUUUGAUGGAGCGCUGUCAGACAGCGAGGGGGAGGUCGGAUCGUGUGUGUGUGCUUGUGUGUGGCCCAGAGGGAUCCUGAGGAUUGUGCUCUAUAGAAACAGUAAAACUCCAGAAGAAGCCGUGCUUCAUCAAGCUGGUUCUCCUUUAGCACCUCCAUCUUGCUCACAACCUCCUAUGCAGCAUUAUCAUCCAUCAGCCUGAACAGAUGAAGCCGUAUUAAACGUGACAUUCAUUACCUCCUGCUGUAGUAUGUGCAGCACCAUCUCUGCAGUGUGUCAUCUCUUCCAGAGUUUUCUCAUCCCUCACAUCCGUGCAUGUGCCGAGCGUUGCCACAGAAACCCACAGCGAACGAUGCGAAGCUGCUACCUCAUUUCCUGCCAUGUAGAAGACUGGCAGCUCAGAGCUGGUGCUGCCCGCUGUGCCAACAUUGUUACUAGUCAUUAAGAGAACACCUAGCAACCGCAUAGCAGUGCCAUGGCAACCUCCAACAACACCCUACAUCACGCCGAACCUUUCAGCGUUUGUCUGUAAACAGUUCGCUGGAAUUGUGGUCUGUUUGAGCACCAAACGUUGCAGAAACAGGAUGUGGUCGACAAAUUAACUGAAAUCUGCCAUUAAGUCCUUCACAGCAGCCCUUCACAGACCCACAAUCCUGCUGUGCUCAGCUCUGGUGUCGUGAGGAACAGCGGUUUAACAGUGGAGACGCUGUUUCAGUCCUAAUUGCCUUUCAAAUGGGGCUGCACAUGCAUGAAGGGCAGAGAAACAUUCACGAGAGGAGAACAGCGAGACUUUAAACUCACGUGUGACUGGUGCAUGAUGGGAAAUGACUGACAGGGGUCAAUCAGCCGUAAAAAACAGGUAUUUCAUUAUUACAUACUGAUGUUAAUUCAUCAGGGAUCUUCCUAUCCAAGACUGAAGCGGUGCUGUAGGCCACACAGGCGUCCUCUAAAGACGCAUCAUCUCUGUUUCCCAUGAUGCAGCAAAUGACACGUCUGAAUUAUUUCUCAUGUGA
Megalobrama amblycephala (Wuchang bream) is the source of this 1703-nucleotide long non-coding RNA. RefSeq lists it as uncharacterized. NCBI's taxonomy places the organism in Eukaryota, Metazoa, Chordata, Actinopteri, Cypriniformes, Xenocyprididae. The record is from RefSeq and is a predicted model, not a curated record. The transcript has 9 exons.